GACGAACGCUGGCGGCGUGCUUAACACAUGCAAGUCGAACGAAGUCGCGAACGGGUGAGUAACGCGUAAUCAACCUGCCCUUCAGAGGGGGACAACAGUUAGAAACGACUGCUAAUACCGCAUACUGAAGGAGGGGAUUGCGUCUGCUUCGCUAGUUGGAGGGGUAACGGGCCACCAAGGCGAUGAUCAGUAGCCGGUCUGAGAGGAUGAACGGCAACACUGGGACUGGGAAACGGCCCAGACUCCCACGGGAGGCAGCAGGGGGGAAUCUUCCGCAAUGGACGAAAGUCUGACGGAGCAACGCCGCGGGGGGGAUGACGGCCUUCGGGUUGGAAAGCGCUGUUAAUCGGGACGCGGUACCGGAAUAGAAAGCCACGGCUAACUACGUGCCAGCAGCCGCGGUAAUAC
This 408-nucleotide ribosomal RNA is filed under the name uncultured bacterium. RNAcentral's name for it is "partial 16S ribosomal RNA". It matches the Rfam family "Bacterial small subunit ribosomal RNA", at positions 28 to 526 of the family's 1533-position model. The record is from RNAcentral.